Molecule: long non-coding RNA, 418 nt
Filed under: Mytilus galloprovincialis (Mediterranean mussel)
Lineage: Eukaryota; Metazoa; Mollusca; Bivalvia; Mytilida; Mytilidae
Source: RNAcentral
AUGUCCUUUUUAGCUCACCUGGCCUAAAAGGCCAAGUGAGCUUUUCUCAUCACUUGGCGUCCGGCGUCCGUCGUCGUCCGUCGUCGUCCGUCGUCCGUCGUCGUCGUUAACUUUUACAAAAAUCUUCUCCUCUGAAACUACUUGGCCAAAUUAAACCAAACUUGGCCACAAUCAUCAUUGGGGUAUUUAGUUUAAAAAAUGUGUCCGGUGACCCGGCCAACCAUCCAAGAUGGCCGCCAUGGCUAAAAAUAGAACAUAGGGGAAAAAUGCAGUUUUUGGCUUAUAACUCAAAAACCAAAGCAUUUAGAGCAAAUCUGACAUGGGAAUUGUGAAACAGGUGAAGAUCUAUCUGCCCUCAAAUUUUCAGAUGAAUCGGAUAACCCAUUGUUGGGUUGCUGCCCCUGAAUUAGUAAUUUUA